This 253-nucleotide ribosomal RNA is filed under the name uncultured bacterium. RNAcentral describes it as "partial 16S ribosomal RNA". It matches the Rfam family "Bacterial small subunit ribosomal RNA", at positions 524 to 776 of the family's 1533-position model. The record is from RNAcentral.
UACGGAGGGCGCAAGCGUUGUUCGGAAUCACUGGGCGUAAAGCGCGUGUAGGCGGCCGGGCAAGUCGGAUGUGAAAUCCCGAGGCUCAACCUCGGAACUGCAUUCGAAACUGCUCGGCUGGAGUCCCGGAGAGGAUGGCGGAAUUCCCGGUGUAGGGGUGAAAUCCGUAGAGAUCGGGAGGAACACCAGUGGCGAAGGCGGCCAUCUGGACGGUGACUGACGAUGAGACGCGAAAGAGUGGGGAGCAAACAGG